This 74-nucleotide transfer RNA is filed under the name Sebaldella termitidis ATCC 33386. It matches the Rfam family "tRNA". From Rfam's summary of the family: Transfer RNA (tRNA) molecules are approximately 80 nucleotides in length. Their secondary structure includes four short double-helical elements and three loops (D, anti-codon, and T loops). Further hydrogen bonds mediate the characteristic L-shaped molecular structure. tRNAs have two regions of fundamental functional importance: the anti-codon, which is responsible for specific mRNA codon recognition, and the 3' end, to which the tRNAs corresponding amino acid is attached (by aminoacyl-tRNA synthetases). tRNAs cope with the degeneracy of the genetic code in two manners: having more than one tRNA (with a specific anti-codon) for a particular amino acid; and 'wobble' base-pairing, i.e. permitting non-standard base-pairing at the 3rd anti-codon position. The record is from Rfam by way of RNAcentral. Lineage: Bacteria; Fusobacteriati; Fusobacteriota; Fusobacteriia; Fusobacteriales; Leptotrichiaceae.
GUGCCUGUAGCUCAGUUGGAUAGAGCAACGGCCUUCUAAGCCGUGGGUCAGGAGUUCGAAUCUCUUCAGGCACG